This 752-nucleotide ribosomal RNA is filed under the name uncultured Pseudomonadota bacterium. RNAcentral's name for it is "bacterial SSU rRNA". It matches the Rfam family "Bacterial small subunit ribosomal RNA", at positions 28 to 768 of the family's 1533-position model. The record is from RNAcentral. Lineage: Bacteria; Pseudomonadati; Pseudomonadota.
AUUGAACGCCUGGCGGCAGGCCUAACACAUGCAAGUCGAACGGUAACAGGAAACAGCUUGCUGUUUCGCUGACGAGUGGCGGACGGGUGAGUAAUGUCUGGGAAACUGCCUGAUGGAGGGGGAUAACUACUGGAAACGGUAGCUAAUACCGCAUAACGUCGCAAGACCAAAGAGGGGGACCCUCGGGCCUCUUGCCAUCGGAUGUGCCCAGAUGGGAUUAGCUUGUUGGUGGGGUAACGGCUCACCAAGGCGACGAUCCCUAGCUGGUCUGAGAGGAUGACCAGCCACACUGGAACUGAGACACGGUCCAGACUCCUACGGGAGGCAGCAGUGGGGAAUAUUGCACAAUGGGCGCAAGCCUGAUGCAGCCAUGCCGCGUGUAUGAAGAAGGCCUUCGGGUUGUAAAGUACUUUCAGCGGGGAGGAAGGGAGUAAAGUUAAUACCUUUGCUCAUUGACGUUACCCGCAGAAGAAGCACCGGCUAACUCCGUGCCAGCAGCCGCGGUAAUACGGAGGGUGCAAGCGUUAAUCGGAAUUACUGGGCGUAAAGCGCACGCAGGCGGUUUGUUAAGUCAGAUGUGAAAUCCCCGGGCUCAACCUGGGAACUGCAUCUGAUACUGGCAAGCUUGAGUCUCGUAGAGGGGGGUAGAAUUCCAGGUGUAGCGGUGAAAUGCGUAGAGAUCUGGAGGAAUACCGGUGGCGAAGGCGGCCCCCUGGACGAAGACUGACGCUCAGGUGCGAAAGCGUGGGGAG